This 197-nucleotide unclassified non-coding RNA is filed under the name uncultured Acaulospora. RNAcentral's name for it is "sequence contains ITS2". Lineage: Eukaryota; Fungi; Glomeromycota; Glomeromycetes; Diversisporales; Acaulosporaceae. The record is from RNAcentral.
GGUUACAAAUCGUGAAAAGGAAUUUUUACGGAUCUGGAUUUUCCAAAGUUCUUUUUUGGUAAUCUAAAAUUUAUCUUAACAAUAGGUGAUAUUGGAAAUGUUUACCUUUAAUUCAUUAACAAUUAUUACCAAUUUGUUACGUCGUGUUAUUUUCCUAAUUUCUUUAACUGGUUAAAGUAAUACAAUUUUUCUUUGAA